GAUGAACGCUAGCUACAGGCUUAACACAUGCAAGUCGAGGGGCAGCAUGAAAGGAACUUCGGUUCUUUUUGAUGGCGACCGGCGCACGGGUGCGUAACGCGUAUCGAACCUGCCUCAUACUCGGGGAUAGCCUUGCGAAAGUAAGAUUAAUACCCGGCGGUCUCGGAUGGCCGCAUGACUGUCCGAGUGAAGAUUUAUCGGUAUGAGAUGGCGAUGCGUCCCAUUAGCUUGUUGGUGAGGUAAUGGCUCACCAAGGCAUCGAUGGGUAGGGGUUCUGAGAGGAAGGUCCCCCACAUUGGAACUGAGACACGGUCCAA
This 317-nucleotide ribosomal RNA is filed under the name uncultured bacterium. Its description in RNAcentral is "bacterial SSU rRNA". It matches the Rfam family "Bacterial small subunit ribosomal RNA", at positions 28 to 334 of the family's 1533-position model. The record is from RNAcentral.